GGCCAAUCAAACCCGGAGAUAUCUCGUUCUCCCCGAAAUAGCUUUAGGGCUAGCCUCGAUCGCUUACCGACGGUGGUAGAGCACUGGAUCCGUGCGGGGGCCUCACCGCCUACCAACCGAAACCAAACUCCGAAUGCCGUCGGUCCCGAGAUCGGGAGUCAGAACAUGUGGGCUAAGCCGUGUGUUCGAGAGGGAAACAGCCCAGACCGCCUGCUAAGGUCCCCAAAUCAACGCUGAGUGGCAAAGGAUGUGCGUUUGCCUAGACAACCAGGAUGUUGGCUUAGAAGCAGCCAUGCAUUUAAAGAGUGCGUAACAGCUCACUGGUCAAGUGGACAUGCGCCGACAAUACACGGGGCUAAGCGUUGUACCGAAGCAGCGGACUGUUUUAUCAGUGGUAGGGGAGCUUUCCAUGCCGGGGCGAAGCCGACGGGCGACCGUCGGUGGACCGCAUGGAAGUGAGAAUGCUGGCAUGAGUAACGAGAGAGGGGCGAGAAACCCCUCCGCCGUAAGCCUAAGGGUUCCUGGGCAAGGCUAAUCCCCCCAGGGUCAGUCGGGAGCUAAGGCGAGGCCGACAGGCGUAGCCGAUGCACAACAGGCGGACAUUCCUGUACCACCGCGGAGCGUUACUACGACGGGGUGACGGAGAAGGGUAGCCGGGCGGGGUUCUGGACGUCCCCGUGAAAGCGCGUAGGCCGCAGGGCAGGCAAAUCCGCCCUGCAGCGAGGCCGAGACGUUAGACGAAGCUCCAUGUGAAGCCGGCGAGCCCAUGCUUCCGAGAAAAACCUCUAAGGAGCGAGGCGGUGCCCGUACCAAAACCGACACAGGUAGGCGGGUAGAGCAUACCAAGGCGAUCGGGAGAACCAUGGUUAAGGAACUCGGCAUACUGACUCCGUAACUUCGGGAGAAGGAGUGCCCCCGCCUGUGAGGUCCCACGCGGACGGAGCGGGAGGGGGUCGCAGCGAAACGGCCCAAGCGACUGUUUACCAAAAACACAGGACUCUGCAAAGCCGCAAGGCGACGUAUAGGGUCUGACGCCUGCCCGGUGCUGGAAGGUUACGCGGAUGAGUUAGCGCAAGCGAAGCCCUGAAGCCAAGCCCCAGUAAACGGCGGCCGUAACUAUAACGGUCCUAAGGUAGCGAAAUUCCUUGUCGGGUAAGUUCCGACCUGCACGAAUGGCGUAACGACUUCCCC
Molecule: ribosomal RNA, 1191 nt
Filed under: human gut metagenome
Description: bacterial LSU rRNA
Rfam family: Bacterial large subunit ribosomal RNA
Source: RNAcentral